UUGGGAAUCUUGCACAAUGGGGGAAACCCUGAUGCAGCGACGCCGCGUGGAGGAUGAAGGAUCUAGGUCUGUAAACUCCUUUUUCACGGAAAGACUUAGGACGGUACCGUGAGAAUAAGCCCCGGCUAACUACGUGCCAGCAGCCGCGGUAAGACGUAGGGGGCGAGCGUUGUCCGGAUUUACUGGGCGUAAAGGGCGCGUAGGCGGUCUGUUAAGUGUGAAGCUAAAUCUCCGAGCUCAACUCGGAAAUCAUUUCGCAUACUGGCAGACUGGAGGAAGGAAGAGGUAACUGGAAUUCCUGGUGUAACGGUGAAAUGUGUUGAUAUCAGGAGGAACUCCAAUGGCGAAGGCAGGUUACUGGUCCUUUUCUGACGCUGAGGCGCGAAAGCGUGGGUAGCAA
This 400-nucleotide ribosomal RNA is filed under the name uncultured bacterium. Its description in RNAcentral is "bacterial SSU rRNA". It matches the Rfam family "Bacterial small subunit ribosomal RNA", at positions 355 to 771 of the family's 1533-position model. The record is from RNAcentral.